UGUUAAACAUUUCAUUAAUUUUUAUUGUUAAAACUUAGCUUGAUUAAUGAAUAACUAAACAAUAACACGUGGUGUGCUAUGUAUAUAUUAUUCUGACAUGCAAUAACCAAUUUUUAACUAUAAAAAUAGAUAGAAUAUCUAAGA
This 144-nucleotide microRNA precursor is filed under the name Gossypium arboreum. RNAcentral's name for it is "MIR7502 microRNA precursor family". It matches the Rfam family "MIR7502 microRNA precursor family". The record is from Rfam by way of RNAcentral. Lineage: Eukaryota; Viridiplantae; Streptophyta; Magnoliopsida; Malvales; Malvaceae.